UGGGGAAUUUUGGACAAUGGGCGAAAGCCUGAUCCAGCAAUGCCGCGUGUGUGAAGAAGGCCUUCGGGUUGUAAAGCACUUUUUGUCCGGAAAGAAAUCCUUGGCUCUAAUACAGUCGGGGGAUGACGGUACCGGAAGAAUAAGCACCGGCUAACUACGUGCCAGCAGCCGCGGUAAUACGUAGGGUGCAAGCGUUAAUCGGAAUUACUGGGCGUAAAGCGUGCGCAGGCGGUUUGCUAAGACCGAUGUGAAAUCCCCGGGCUCAACCUGGGAACUGCAUUGGUGACUGGCAGGCUAGAGUAUGGCAGAGGGGGGUAGAAUUCCACGUNUAGCAGUGAAAUGCGUAGAGAUGUGGAGGAAUACCGAU
This 367-nucleotide ribosomal RNA is filed under the name uncultured bacterium. RNAcentral's name for it is "partial 16S ribosomal RNA". It matches the Rfam family "Bacterial small subunit ribosomal RNA", at positions 355 to 713 of the family's 1533-position model. The record is from RNAcentral.